RNAcentral lists this ribosomal RNA (460 nucleotides) under uncultured bacterium. RNAcentral describes it as "partial 16S ribosomal RNA". It matches the Rfam family "Bacterial small subunit ribosomal RNA", at positions 338 to 795 of the family's 1533-position model. The record is from RNAcentral.
CCUACGGGUGGCAGCAGUGAGGAAUAUUGGUCAAUGGCCGGAAGGCUGAACCAGCCAUGCCGCGUGAAGGUCAGUGCCCUAUGGGCGUUAAACUUCUUUUGUGCGGGAGCAAUAAUGGUCACGUGUGGCCAGACGAGAGUACCGUACGAAUAAGCAUCGGCUAACUCCGUGCCAGCAGCCGCGGUAAUACGGGGGAUGCAAGCGUUAUCCGGAUUUAUUGGGUUUAAAGGGUGCGUAGGCUGUGAGGUAAGUCAGCGGUGAAAUGCCCCCGCUCAACGGGGUGAAGUGCCAUUGAUACUGCCUGGCUGGAAUGCUGAUGCCGUGGGAGGAAUGUGUGGUGUAGCGGUGAAAUGCAUAGAUAGCACACAGAACACCGAUUGCGAAGGCAUCUCACGAAUCCGCGAUUGACGCUGAUGCACGAAAGCGUGGGUAUCAAACAGGAUUAGAUACCCUUGUAGUC